RNAcentral lists this unclassified non-coding RNA (2134 nucleotides) under Hevea brasiliensis (rubber tree). Lineage: Eukaryota; Viridiplantae; Streptophyta; Magnoliopsida; Malpighiales; Euphorbiaceae. The record is from RNAcentral.
GCCUGUCAGGAAAAAAUAGGCACGGGUUACCUGUCUGCUUUUCCAUCUGAGCUAUUUGAUCGUUUUGAGGCUAUAAAGCCUGUCUGGGCUCCAUAUUACACUAUUCAUAAGAUCUUGGCAGGUCUCUUGGAUCAAUAUACAUUUGCAGAUAAUGUUCAAGCUUUAAAAAUGGUGAAAUGGAUGGUUGAGUAUUUCUACAACCGUGUGCAAAAUGUUGUAACCAAAUAUAGUGUUGAAAGACAUUUUCUUUCACUCAAUGAAGAAACUGGGGGUAUGAAUGAUGUCCUUUACAGGUUAUUCAGCAUAACAGGAGAUCCAAAGCAUUUAAUAUUGGCUCACCUUUUUGACAAGCCAUGCUUCCUUGGCUUACUCGCAGUACAGGCUGAUGAUAUAUCAGGUUUCCAUGCCAAUACACAUAUCCCUAUUGUUAUUGGAUCGCAAAUGCGAUAUGAAGUAACUGGUGAUACACUUUAUAAGGAAAUAGGGACAUUCUUCAUGGACAUUGUUAACUCUUCUCACAGCUAUGCAACUGGAGGGACGUCAGUUAGCGAGUUCUGGUCAGACCCAAAACGCUUGGCUAGUACACUCUCAUCAGAGAAUGAGGAAUCAUGCACAACUUAUAAUAUGCUCAAGGUCUCCCGUCACCUAUUUCGAUGGACCAAAGAAAUGGCAUAUGCAGAUUAUUAUGAACGAGCUCUGACAAAUGGUGUGUUAGGCAUCCAAAGGGGAACGGAACCUGGAGUCAUGAUUUACAUGCUUCCACAAAAUCCUGGAAGUUCUAAGGCCAGAAGUUACCACGGAUGGGGAACACAGUUUGAUUCUUUCUGGUGCUGCUAUGGAACAGGAAUUGAAUCGUUUUCGAAGCUGGGAGAUUCCAUAUAUUUUGAAGAGGAAGGACAAGUCCCUGGUCUUUAUGUCAUCCAGUAUGUAUCAAGUUCUCUCGAUUGGAAAGCAGGACAAAUUGUGCUCGAUCAGCAAGUUGAUUCUGUUGUUUCUUGGGAUCCUUAUCUUCGAGUGACAUUGACCUUUUCUCCAAACAAGGGGACAAGCGAACCAUCUACCUUGAAUUUUCGGAUACCAAUUUGGACAAAUUCCGAUGGUGCCAUGGCAACAUUAAAUGCUCAAAGUUUGUCUGUACCAGCUCCAGGUAAUUUCUUAUCAAUCACCAGAAAAUGGAGCAGUGGUGAUAAACUUACUCUUCAGUUGCCUAUCAGUUUCAGAACAGAGUCUAUUAAAGAUGACCGGUCUGAGUAUGCUUCCGUUCAGGCGAUACUUUAUGGUCCUUAUCUGCUUGCGGGUCAUACCAUUGGUGACUGGAACAUCAAAUCUGGGUCAGCAGAUUCUCUUUCGGACUGGAUAACUCCAAUUCCUCCCACUUACAAUAAUUAUCUAGUAUCUUUUUCCCAACAAUCUGGAGAUUCAGCUUUGGCCUUAACAAACUCGAACCAAACCAUUACAAUGCAAAAUUUCCCUAAAUCUGGCACUGAUGCGUCUGUUUAUGCGACUUUUAGACUCAUCUUGAAUGGUUCAUCUUCCUCAGAAUUAUCAACAAUUGAAAAUGCUAUUGGAAACUAUGUCAUGCUAGAACCAUUUGAUCUACCAGGAAUGGUUUUAGUGCAGCAAGGAGAAGAUGAUGGGCUUGCAGUUGCAAGUUCUGACAGUGGCGAUGGAUCAUCCAUUUUCCGUUUGGUUUCAGGAUUGGAUGGAAAGGAUGGAACCAUAUCCUUGGAGUCGGUAAGCCAUGAGGGUUGCUUUGUGUUUAGUGGCGUGGAUUAUCAAUCAGGAACAAGCUUAAAGCUCAGCUGCAAUUCAGAAUCCUCAGACAUUCAUCAGGGAGCCAGCUUUGUAAUGAACAAAGGAUUAAGCGAGUAUCAUCCCAUCAGCUUUGUAGCAAAGGGAGAAAAAAGGAAUUUUCUUCUUGCACCAUUACUGAGUUUCAGAGAUGAAUCCUAUACUAUUUAUUUUAACAUUCAUGCUUAACAAGCUUGGGAGGACUCAGAAAGCCUAGUAUAUUCCUGUAAGGCAAUAAAUUACUCCUAUUUUAGCCUCCAGAGGGAUGUGGACACAAGCAGGGAUGAUCUCCUUUUUAAUUACAAAUAUAUCUCGUUAACUAAACAUAAAAAUUUGAUAAAAA